CACCUUCGAAGGCUAAGUACUCCUGACUGACCGAUAGUGAACCAGUACCGUGAGGGAAAGGUGAAAAGCACCCCGACGAGGGGAGUGAAACAGUACCUGAAACCGAACGCCUACAAUCAGUUGGAGCAUCCUUGCGAUGUGACAGCGUACCUUUUGUAUAAUGGGUCAUCGACUUGGUCUAUCUAGCAAGCUUAAGCCGUUAGGUGUAGGCGCAGCGAAAGCGAGUCUUAAUAGGGCGCAUGAGUUAGAUGGAUCAGACCCGAAACCGAGUGAUCUAGGCAUGGCCAGGUUGAAGAUACGGUAACACGUAUUGGAGGACCGAACCCACAUCCGUUGAAAAGGAUCGGGAUGAGCUGUGCCUAGGGGUGAAAGGCCAAUCAAACUCGGAGAUAGCUGGUUCUCCGCGAAAUCUAUUUAGGUAGAGCGUCAUCCGAAUACCCCGGGGGGUAGAGCACUGGAUGGGUAAUGGGGCCCCACAGGCUUACUGAUCCUAACCAAACUCCGAAUACCCGGGAGUACUAGAUGGCAGACACACGGCGGAUGCUAACGUCCGUCGUGGAGAGGGAAACAACCCUGACCGACAGUUAAGGCCCCCAAUUCAUGGCUAAGUGGGAAAGCAGGUGGGACGACCAAAACAACCAGGAGGUUGGCUUAGAAGCAGCCACCCUUUAAAGAAAGCGUAAUAGCUCACUAGUCGAGUCGGCCUGCGCGGAAGAUAUAUCGGGGCUAAACUGAUAACCGAAGCUGUGGAUGCGCACUUUGUGCGUGUGGUAGAGGAGCGUUCUGUAAGCCGUUGAAGGUGAAUCGUAAGGUUUGCUGGAGGUAUCAGAAGUGCGAAUGCUGACAUGAGUAACGAUAAGGGGGGUGAAAAACCUCCCCGCCGAAAGAUCAAGGUUUCCUGUCCAACGUUAAUCGGGACAGGGUGAGUCGGCCCCUAAGGCGAGGGCGAAAGCCGUAGUCGAUGGAAAACCGGUUAAAAUUCCGGUACCGAUUUUUACUGCGAUGGAGGGACGGAGAAGGCUAGGCUAGCACGGCGUUGGUAGUCCGUGUUUAAGCGUGUAGGUAGGGGGAUUAGGUAAAUCCGGUUCCUCGUUAAUCUGAGACGUGAUGACGAUCUCUUGGGGCGACCCUUGAGAGAAGUAGUUGAUGCCAUACUUCCAGGAAAAUCUUCUAAGCUUCAGGUAAGAAUUGACCGUACUGUAAACCGACACAGGUGAUCAGGUAGAGAAUACCAAGGCGCUUGAGAGAACUUGGGUGAAGGAACUAGGCAAAAUGGUACCGUAACUUCGGGAGAAGGUACGCUCCUCAUGGUGAUCGGACUUGCUCCGUAAGCUGAGGGGAGUCGAAGUGACCAGGUGGCUGCAACUGUUUAUUAAAAACAUAGCACUCUGCAAACUCGUGAGAGGAAGUAUAGGGUGUGACGCCUGCCCGGUGCCGGAAGGUUAAUUGAUGGGGUUAUCUUCGGAGAAGCUCUUGAUCGAAGCCCCGGUAAACGGCGGCCGUAACGAUAACGGUCCUAAGGUAGCGAAAUUCCUUGUCGGGUAAGUUCCGACCUGCACGAAUGGCGUAACGACUUCCCCGCUGUCUCCAAUGUAGACUCAGCGAAAUUGAAUUGCCUGUCAAGAUGCAGGCUUCCCGCGGUUAGACGGAAAGACCCCGUGCACCUUUACUACAGCUUCGCACUGGCAUCAGAAUUGUGAUGUGCAGGAUAGGUGGUGGGCUUUGAAACCGGAACGCCAGUUUCGGUGGAGCCUCCCUUGAGAUACCACCCUUCGCACUUUUGAUGUCUAACCGCGGUCCGUUAUCCGGAUCCGGGACCCUGCGUGGCGGGUAGUUUGACUGGGGCGGUCGCCUCCUAAAGAGUAACGGAGGCGCGCGAAGGUUGGCUCAGAGCGGUCGGAAAUCGCUCGUUGAGUGCAAUGGCAGAAGCCAGCCUGACUGCGAGACUGACAAGUCGAGCAGAGUCGAAAGACGGCCAUAGUGAUCCGGUGGUCCCGAGUGGAAGGGCCAUCGCUCAACGGAUAAAAGGUACGCCGGGGAUAACAGGCUGAUACUGCCCAAGAGUCCAUAUCGACGGCAGUGUUUGGCACCUCGAUGUCGGCUCAUCUCAUCCUGGG
Molecule: ribosomal RNA, 2117 nt
Filed under: Chaetoceros neogracilis
Lineage: Eukaryota; Bacillariophyta; Thalassiosirophyceae; Chaetocerotales; Chaetocerotaceae
Description: partial Bacterial large subunit ribosomal RNA
Rfam family: Bacterial large subunit ribosomal RNA
Source: RNAcentral